GGGGUUGUGGCUCAGCGGUAGAGCACUCACCUCUUACGUGUGAGACCCUGGGUUCCAUCCUCAGCAUCACAU
Molecule: transfer RNA, 72 nt
Filed under: Marmota monax (woodchuck)
Lineage: Eukaryota; Metazoa; Chordata; Mammalia; Rodentia; Sciuridae
Rfam family: tRNA
About the family: Transfer RNA (tRNA) molecules are approximately 80 nucleotides in length. Their secondary structure includes four short double-helical elements and three loops (D, anti-codon, and T loops).
Source: Rfam by way of RNAcentral